AUUUAUAUAGUUUAAAAAAAACAUUAUAUUUUCAAUAUAAAAAUAAAAAAAUUUUAUAAAUU
Molecule: transfer RNA, 62 nt
Filed under: Zecheuna tonkinensis
Lineage: Eukaryota; Metazoa; Arthropoda; Insecta; Hemiptera; Flatidae
Description: tRNA-Glu
Source: RNAcentral